RNAcentral lists this non-coding RNA (712 nucleotides) under Testudotaenia sp. WL-2016. The record is from RNAcentral. Lineage: Eukaryota; Metazoa; Platyhelminthes; Cestoda; Proteocephalidea; Proteocephalidae.
UGUUUGUUUAACUAUGGCAACAGAAAGUCUUAGUCGCACACCUGCAUAAAGCUUUUUUAUUAUAUUUCUUGAACAUUAAUGUCUUGAUAUAAUUAGCAGGCAAUUUUUUAUUUGGAUUAGCGUCUUAUAAGGUGUGGUUAAAUAAAGGGGAUAGGACACAGUGCCAGCAUCCGCGGUUAGUCUGUUUUCUUUGCUUUCCUAUAGCGUUAAACGCAUUAUUUCUAAUAAAGGUUAGGUGAAAUUUUCUUUAACAAAUAUUUUAUAAUGCAAGAAGUAACAAAUAGUUAUUAAUGACAGGGAUUAGAUACCCCAUUAAUUAACUAGUUAAUAUAGCUUAGUUUUACAACUAAAAUAGUUUGGCAGCGAGUUACUCCUGUUAGGGGAAGGUGUGUCGUAAAGGAUGAUCCGCCUAUUAAUUUUCUUUGGUUAUGUUGGUGUAUAUCUGGUUGAAUAUUACUGUUUUAUAACUUAAAUUUGUGGAUUCAAAAAUUAAGCCAAGUCUAUGUGCUGCAUACUAAAGUUCUCAUGCGUUACUGUGAUAUCAGGUGUGUUGUAUUUCAUGUCUGUUUAGGACUUAAUAGUAAUGAUGAAUGAGUUUGUCAUCGUGAAGAAGGUUUAACUCGGGUACACACCGCCCGUCACCCUCGAUUAUUGUUGAGGUAAGUCGUAACAUGGUAGUCUCAAAUGAAUUUGAGACUAAUUAGCUUUUCAG